RNAcentral lists this transfer RNA (74 nucleotides) under Candidatus Magasanikbacteria bacterium RIFOXYA2_FULL_44_8. Its description in RNAcentral is "tRNA-Gln". It matches the Rfam family "tRNA". From Rfam's summary of the family: Transfer RNA (tRNA) molecules are approximately 80 nucleotides in length. The record is from RNAcentral. Lineage: Bacteria; Candidatus Magasanikiibacteriota.
UCCGAGAUCGUCUAAUGGCAGGACAACGGACUCUGAAUCCGUUUAUCUUGGUUCGAAUCCAAGUCUCGGAACCA